Molecule: ribosomal RNA, 474 nt
Filed under: uncultured bacterium
Lineage: Bacteria
Description: SSU rRNA
Rfam family: Bacterial small subunit ribosomal RNA
Source: RNAcentral
AGGACGAACGCUGGCGGCGUGCUUAACACAUGCAAGUCGAGCGGAAAGGCCCUUCGGGGUACUCGAGCGGCGAACGGGUGAGUAACACGUGGGCAACCUGCCCCUAGCUCUGGGAUAACUCCGGGAAACCGGUGCUAAUACCGGAUAUGACCUCAUUUGGCAUCCUUUGAGGUGGAAAGAUUUAUUGGCUAGGGAUGGGCCCGCGGCCUAUCAGCUUGUUGGUGGGGUAAUGGCCUACCAAGGCGACGACGGGUAGCCGGCCUGAGAGGGCGACCGGCCACACUGGGACUGAGACACGGCUCAGACUCCUACGGGAGGCAGCAGUGGGGAAUAUUGCGCAAUGGGCGAAAGCCUGACGCAGCGACGCCGCGUGGGGGAUGAAGGCCUUCGGGUUGUAAACCCCUUUCAGCAGGACGAAGCGAAAGUGACGGUACCUGCAGAAGAAGCGCCGGCUAACUACGCGCCAGCAGCCGC